CUGAUAACUCCCUAACAAUAGAGCAUUCCCAAUCUUAUACCAAAGGAGUAAUCAUCUCUAUUGAAGUGUUUCCCUGUUUCUUCACAUUUAAUUUCAAUUUCACUCAUGGAGGAAGAUGUUUAGCAGAGCUUAUGUUUCUGCAAAUCCGACUUUGAUUUUGCUAUUAUGGGCAUCUUCUUCGAGAGUGGUAGCGAACCAGAUAUCACAACGAAAGGAAUCCUUUUGGUAGAUAAGGGUGAUGAUGUUGUUAAAUUGCUCGAAAAGCUUGUGGAUCUGAAACUCUGUGAACCUAAUGAAUUUACAAUGGAAUAAUGAUCGAUGACGUCUGAUAAGGUUGACAUCUGGAUUUUUCUAUGACACUUCUUUAGAAGAAGAUUUGAAAGAAGUAGUAAGAAACCUAUGUCAAGUCUAAUAAUGUGUUAAUUGACGCGUUAUGCUGUGAAAUUAUUCGAAAAGAUUUUGGAUUUCUGAUGUGAGUCUAACUAUGUAAUUAUUAUGGACUCAAGGAGAUGCCUGGACUUUGCAAAGUUGGACAAAUAGUUAUAGCUCACGAUCUACAUCAUAUAUAAAUGCACUGCAUAGCUACACAAAUAAAGUUUGUGUUGAUCAACAAAGUCCAACAAUCUGUGGGGAUUCCUUCUUCGUUAAAGGAUUGUUUUUAGAGGAUAGGGUUUGGUCUUUUCUUCAUUAAAUGAUUGUUUGUAGAGGAUAAGGUUGAUUGAUGUUAGAGGAUAAGGUUGCCUAUUUGAGACUGUAUGAGCCUAAUGAUGUUAUGAUAUGGAUAGUGAUAUGUGAGCAUUGCAAAUGUUGCACAAAUAUUUGUAGCCCACAAGUAUUUGAUGCUUUGGUUGCAAUUCUACACUCGAAUGUAGUAUCACAAAUCAUGUGGUUAAGUAUGGUUAUGUUGUUAUUGCAACUCCUGCUUUGAUGUUGCCUUAUGGAUUGGAAGAGAUGCAUUUGAGUGGCAUGGACAUUUUCUAAGAAUACAUGGAUAAUAUUGGCUCUUUGCUUGUGAUAUCAUCCCUAUGCGUUCGGUGGUUCAAAGUUGGAAGUUUUUCAAGACUUUAGCUUCUUCUAAUGAAGAUAGUGAUUUGGUGCAAUGGAAACCGAGAUUUGGUGUCUUGCUUUAGCUAUCUAAGCAAGCAUGAAACACUGUUACUCGAAGAGAUCCAUUGGAUGUAUGCAUGUUGUUCUUAUGUUGAUAAAUCGAUGAGCAUCAAGAUUAAAAGGUGUGGAAUCCAAAUACCAGAUCCAGAAAGGUUAUGCAGAUGAGCAGUAAGAGUGGUUUACCAUUUAAGGUGUUUAAAUUGCAACUAUUGAUAUUUGUAUAUUUAUUGUCAUUUAAACCAA
This is a long non-coding RNA of Salvia hispanica, 1350 nucleotides long. RefSeq lists it as uncharacterized. Lineage: Eukaryota; Viridiplantae; Streptophyta; Magnoliopsida; Lamiales; Lamiaceae. The record is from RefSeq and is a predicted model, not a curated record.